AACGAACGCUGGCGGCAUGCCUAACACAUGCAAGUCGAACGAAGGCUUCGGCCUUAGUGGCGCACGGGUGCGUAACGCGUGGGAAUCUGCCCUUGGGUUCGGAAUAACUCAGAGAAAUUUGAGCUAAUACCGGAUGAUGACGUAAGUCCAAAGAUUUAUCGCCCAAGGAUGAGCCCGCGUAAGAUUAGCUAGUUGGUGGGGUAAAGGCCUACCAAGGCGACGAUCUUUAGCUGGUCUGAGAGGAUGAUCAGCCACACUGGGACUGAGACACGGCCCAGACUCCUACGGGAGGCAGCAGUGGGGAAUAUUGGACAAUGGGCGAAAGCCUGAUCCAGCAAUGCCGCGUGAGUGAAGAAGGCCUCGG
RNAcentral lists this ribosomal RNA (364 nucleotides) under uncultured bacterium. RNAcentral's name for it is "bacterial SSU rRNA". It matches the Rfam family "Bacterial small subunit ribosomal RNA", at positions 29 to 420 of the family's 1533-position model. The record is from RNAcentral.